GGCUGUUCGCCGAUUAAAGCGGCACGCGAGCUGGGUUCAGAACGUCGUGAGACAGUUUGGUCUCUAUCCUCUGCGCUCGUUGGAAUGUUGAGGAGGCCUGCCCAUAGUACGAGAGGACCUGGGUGGACGAACCUCUGGUAUGCCGGUUGUCGCGCCAGCGGCACGGCCGGUUGGCCACGUUCGGAAGGGAUAACCGCUGAAAGCAUCUAAGCGGGAAGCCUGCUCCAAGAUAAGCAUUCCUACAGGCCCAUGUGGCCUGGUGACCCCCCAUGCAGAACACGUGGUCGAUAGGCCGGACGUGGAAGCCCCGCGAGGGGUGGAGCCGACCGGUACUAACGGGGGAACGCCACACAACA
Molecule: ribosomal RNA, 356 nt
Organism: Bifidobacterium reuteri DSM 23975
Lineage: Bacteria; Bacillati; Actinomycetota; Actinomycetes; Bifidobacteriales; Bifidobacteriaceae
Rfam family: Bacterial large subunit ribosomal RNA
Source: Rfam